UGACUGAGCGGCGGACGGGUGAGUAACGCGUGGGCAACCUGCCCUGUACAGGGGGAUAACAGUUAGAAAUGACUGCUAAUACCGCAUAAGCCCACAGCUUCGCAUGAAGCAGUGGGAAAAACUCCGGUGGUACAGGAUGGGCCCGCGUCUGAUUAGCUAGUUGGUAAGGUAACGGCUUACCAAGGCGACGAUCAGUAGCCGACCUGAGAGGGUGACCGGCCACAUUGGGACUGAGACACGGCCCAAACUCCUACGGGAGGCAGCAGUGGGGAAUAUUGCACAAUGGGGGAAACCCUGAUGCAGCGACGCCGCGUGAGCGAUGAAGUAUUUCGGUAUGUAAAGCUCUAUCAGCAGGGAAGAAAGUGACGGUACCUGACUAAGAAGCCCCGGCUAACUACGUGCCAGCAGCCGCGGUAAUACGUAGGGGGCAAGCGUUAUCCGGAUUUACUGGGUGUAAAGGGAGCGUAGACGGAAGUGCAAGUCUGAAGUGAAAGCCCGAGGCUCAACCCCGGGACUGCUUUGGAAACUGUAUUUCUAGAGUGCUGGAGAGGUAAGUGGAAUUCCUAGUGUAGCGGUGAAAUGCGUAGAUAUUAGGAGGAACACCAGUGGCGAAGGCGGCUUA
RNAcentral lists this ribosomal RNA (622 nucleotides) under uncultured Lachnospiraceae bacterium. Its description in RNAcentral is "bacterial SSU rRNA". It matches the Rfam family "Bacterial small subunit ribosomal RNA", at positions 88 to 728 of the family's 1533-position model. The record is from RNAcentral. Lineage: Bacteria; Bacillati; Bacillota; Clostridia; Lachnospirales; Lachnospiraceae.